This 325-nucleotide ribosomal RNA is filed under the name uncultured eukaryote. Its description in RNAcentral is "partial 18S ribosomal RNA". It matches the Rfam family "Eukaryotic small subunit ribosomal RNA", at positions 1470 to 1796 of the family's 1831-position model. The record is from RNAcentral.
CCCUUAGAUGUCCUGGGCCGCACGCGCGCUACACUGAUGCAUUCAACGAGUUUUACCUUGGCCGAGAGGCCUGGGCAAUCUUUUAAACCUGCAUCGUGAUAGGGAUAGAUUAUUGCAAUUAUUAAUCUUGAACGAGGAAUUCCUAGUAAACGCAAAUCAUCAAUUUGCAUUGAUUACGUCCCUGCCCUUUGUACACACCGCCCGUCGCACCUACCGAUUGAAUGGUCCGGUGAAGCCUCGGGAUUGUGGCCAGUUCACUUUAUUGGGAGUUGGCUGUGAGAACUUGUCUAAACCUUAUCAUUUAGAGGAAGGUGAAGUCGUANCA